GUGAAAUUGUUGAAAGGGAAACGCUUGAAACCAGUCAUGUGGUUGGAAAAUCAGUGUUCAACUGGGGGGAAUGGGGGAGGUGUGGACCGCAAGGCUGCUCUUUUCUAUAUCUCUUUUGUUGGGCAUGCACUUUUUCUUCUGCAGGUCAACAUCAGUUUCUUUUGCUGGACAAAACUCUUGAGAAGGUAGCAGCUUAGGCUGUGUUAUAGCUCUGGAGCGAUACAGUGGAGGAGACUGAGGUUUUCGCAGCAUGUGCUCUCGGGCAAGGCCAAUUGGGUGCUAUGGGAUCGUUCGGGGUACAAUACAUGUAUUUUGCCUCGUGUCUUUUCUAUACUCGUUCAGUUGAGCUCUUCCAUGCUUAGGAUGUUGACUUAAUGGUUUUAAUCGACCCGUCUUGAAACACGGACCAAGGAGUCUAACAUAUAUGCAAGUGUUUGGGUGGCAAACCCAUGCGCGUAAUGAAAGUGAACGUAGGUGCCAUCCGCAAGGUGCAGCAUCGACCGAUCUUGAUAUUUUUGGAUAGAUUUGAGUAAGAGCAUAUAUGCUGGGACCCGAAAGAUGGUGAACUAUGCCUGAAUAGGGUGAAGCCAGAGGAAACUCUGGUGGAGGCUCGUAGCGAUUCUGACGUGCAAAUCGAUCGUCAAAUUUGGGUAUAGGGGCG
RNAcentral lists this ribosomal RNA (661 nucleotides) under uncultured fungus. RNAcentral describes it as "LSU rRNA". It matches the Rfam family "Eukaryotic large subunit ribosomal RNA", at positions 399 to 925 of the family's 3401-position model. Lineage: Eukaryota; Fungi. The record is from RNAcentral.